UAACUCUUGUGUGUGUGUGAGAGUGUGUGUUGGUUUUUGUGGUUUACGAGGACUUUUGACCUGAAUACGCACCGGCAUUACGGGGACAUUUGGGUUUAUGAGGACACAGGCCAUGUCCUUGUAAUUCCGGCAAUGUAGAUGCCUUUCUCUAUGUCCCAGAAGCACCCUCUCCAAUUUUCGCGGCAUGUCCUUAUAUACCACAAAAACCUGAUUUUAUACCAUACACUGUGUAUCCUCUGUGUACGAGAGUGCGCCCCUGCAGCCGGGUCCUGGUACUGUACCGGCGUCAUCGAAAAUUUGCAUUUUUCACACAAGUGUAAGUAUUGAGGCCUGUGAUUGGUCAGAUCGGUACUGGUAGGCGGGAAAUCACGAAAACAAGAUGGCGCCGACGGGCGGAGCCUAAUUCCGCAGCCCCUAUUGGUUGCAUACGCAAUGAACAACAAGCGAGACAAGAUGGCGCCGGUGGGCGGAGCCUCAUUCAGCUUCAGCUUCAGCAUAGAAGCUGCACCUGAGAAGACAUCUGAGCACCUGAUGGAGGCUACUGUUAUUUUAAAGAAGAUGACAGAAGACACAUCAGAUCAUGCUGAAGUGAAACAGUGAUGGAGAAAGCCCAAUCUCUGGAGGAAGAUGAUUUCACCUGUGUCAGAUGGUAACUGAGAAGAAUCAGAUUCAGAAGAAUAAGAUACAGCAACAAUAAAGAUAAGCCGUGAGACCCAGCUGUCAUCAGUGACGAUUGUGCUGCUCUUACUGUGGGACUAGACCAGACUCUCAGUGAGGUUGGACCCUCUGCU
Megalobrama amblycephala (Wuchang bream) is the source of this 791-nucleotide long non-coding RNA. RefSeq lists it as uncharacterized. NCBI's taxonomy places the organism in Eukaryota, Metazoa, Chordata, Actinopteri, Cypriniformes, Xenocyprididae. The transcript has 6 exons. The record is from RefSeq and is a predicted model, not a curated record.